UCUCUUGAAUGGUUCUCUUGGUUGAUUGAAAAUUGAAUAAAAGAAAAGGAGAUGGGCAAUAGUAAAAGUACAGCAAUAGUAAACAAAAAAAGAAGAGGAGUUGGCAAAGCAAAUACCACAAGUUUUUCUCUUUGGUGUCUAAAGCAAAAGCAAGGGUUUUCUCCACUAAAUAAAGAAAUCUCCAAAGCCUUCAAUCUCUCAGCACAGUCUAUACAUGCAAAAAGAGAGAACAAAAAGUCAGAAACAUGGAAAAAGGCAAAAAAAAAAAAGCAAAAGAGAAGGGAGUUUAUGGAGUAGACUACCACGUGGAAAGCAAGAGGAUUUUCCCCUUUGUGUGUAGCUGGUGAUGAGCAAGGAAAAGGGAAGUAGAAUUCUACUUCCUGUCAAUUGAAAGUCUCAAGGUUCUCUUGGGUAUUGACCUUGGGAAAGUUACAGCACAUAAUGGACAAUAAGAGGAUUUGUCUCUUUUGGUUCCAAGUCAGCCCAGAAGCAUCCAAUUAAUUGGAGGGUCUUCUAUUGCUACUGCUAUUGCUGUCCAUGUAGACAAAAGUCCUAGUUAGUUCAAUCAAUAAAUAAAAUAAAAGAGAAGAACUAAGGAACGGCAUGUGGGUUACCACGUGAGAUCCGCUUCCGUUUGAUGGGGCAACAGGUGGCUUGAGCAAAGCUAUGUGCUGGUCUGGGAGCAAAGCUAUGUGCUGGUCUGGAGAAGCAAACGAAGAAUAAUGUUAAGACUUUCGUUUUGUGGCUAUUUGCUGGUGCACACAUAUUUUCUUUUUUUAUAAGGAAGACAACCCAAUCCUAUGUGGACAAGAAGUUUACUUCACUGGAUGAUCCAGCAGUUCCAAAUCAAUAAGGAGUUUAAUCCAUACUUCACUUGGAGAAGGAUUUCUAUCCUUUGGGUGUCUUAAUCAAAUUGAAAGACACCUGUUAAUGGCACCAAUACGUGAGGGAUCCAGCUGGAGCAAAGCAAGGCCUUUGGUUUACUAUGUUUUGCUGAAAGUAAACAGAAAAAAAUAAAAAAAUAAAAGCUUGUGGAGGUGAACCCUCCACGUGAUGAUUUUUGGCUUUGAAUCAAAAGCAAAGCCUUGAAUCAAAAUUCAGAACAAUGAAGAAAGCUUUGCUCUUCUUCAGGUCAGAAUCAAAUUCACAUGAAGUCAAUUGCUGGGGCUAUGACACUACAUAAGCAAAACGAAAUGAAGAGUAAAUGUGUUGGUGAACCCACCACUUGUGAAUUCAAAAGGACUUCUUCCUCUUUGACUUGCAGCAGAGUAAUAAAAAAAAAAGUCUUGGACUUCACGGACUCGCAUGUCUAAAGUGAAUUCAAGAUUAUGUCUUUGAUUGUAACAACAACAAAAAACAACAAAAGAAAGGGUUCGAUGCAAGAUGUAAAUGUGUUGGUGAACCCACCACUUGUGAAUUCAAAAGGACUUCUUCCUCUUUGACUUGCAGCAGAGUAAUAAAAAAAAAAGUCUUGGACUUCACGGACUCGCAUGUCUAAAGUGAAUUCAAGAUUAUGUCUUUGAUUGUAACAACAACAAAAAACAACAAAAGAAAGGGUUCGAUGCAAGAUGUGUUUUGCCAAAUUUUUAUCUCCUCUAAUAAGUCGUAUGCAAGAGACCAGAGAAGAAAUAAUUGGCAAGUUUGACAAAAGCUAACAAACCCAAAGCUGCCAGCUGCAUCAAUCUGAACACACAAAGUUUGAGUCCAGACUCAUGCGAACCAAUCCAAAGGAAGUGCAGAUUUCUCUAAGUUCAUCCCCCACAGUUCAAGCUAUCAAGCUUCUAAAUAGGAAGGAGCAGAACUAUGAAAAAAAUAAGAUAAAUCAAGGAGAUACAAUACUUUUCUUUUGCUUCAUGGAGAAGCAAAAGGCCCCAUGCCAAUGACAAACGGAAUGGAAAAUCAAGCCACAAGAGUAGCUGGCUUGUACCGACGUCAAGAAGUCAAAGACGAUAAAAAAAUAGUCAGAGGCGUGAUUGUUUGAGAGGGCCCAUUCUUUGUAAAUGUCCACUAAGCUCAGCAAUAUGCUUUACAAUAUAAAACAAGCAUUGAGCUUCACACAGAUAGAAGACAAAGUGAAGGUUUGAAACCAAGGCCUUUUCAAGUUCCUCACAUUACUUUUGGUGACUGCAACAAAUGAAAACAAAGUGUCCAGGCACUUGUGCUCCUUUGUAUUCCAAGGGACGAAGAUGUGAGUUCACUACUUGCAGUACCAAGCUAUGCAAGCAAGUGCACAAAAGUGUCAGCAAGGGUUCAUGAGAACUAAAUCAAUUGACGGUCAAGAAGGCUCAAUAAAAUGCUUACGUCAUUGAGGUCUAUCUGCCUCAAUUCUCAAAUGCAAGACGGCUACCAAACAUGCCCACAAAAUCUCAACAAGAAAUAUAGGAAUCAAUCACUGUGGCAAAGAAGCUAUUCAAAAAGGAGUGCCAAGCGACUCAACCAUACUGUGUCCAUGACUCCAUUCCAGAUAAAUGAUUGGCCGUGCUACGAGCAUCCAGCUCGCACUCAAAAGAUACCAAAGGAGCAUCAAUAUGGAUUAACAGGCUUGUCAACCACAAAAACCCAUUAAUCUCAAAUCCUCCAAAUCAUGCAUGGAUACAAACGCAAAUGUCAAUUGUAGAGAAUUAGUGGGUUCAUCAAAAUUACUCAUUAUUUUUCUUGGACAUUGACAAAAAGAAAAAUGGUAUAAAACCAUCCAAUUUUCCCCAUGGUUCAUCUACCCAUGCAAAUUCCAAAUGAGAUUAAAUUCAAAUAUCUCAAACACAAAUUCUUAAUUAGUGGGCCACACUUACCCAUUAAUUUCCAAUUUUUCCCAUAGGUCAUCUACCUAUGAAAAUCUCCAAAUUGUCUCAAAGACACAAAUUCUCAAUUAGUGGGUCACACUUACCCAUUAAUUUCCAAAAUUUGGAACUACAUCGGUUUGAUCCCGUCAAGGGUACGUAGGCAGUCUAGCAUCCCAAUAGACGCAACCGCAAUCAAAUUUAAAUAUCUGGUUUAUCUUAACCAAAUUUUGCCAAAACACUUUCCCAAACGCAAUCGUCAAUGUUUAGGAAAAAUUAAUGGGAUAAUUAAAAUUACUCAUUAUUUUUCUUGGACAUUGACAACAACGAAAGUGGUACAAAACCAUCCAAUUUUUCAUGGGUCAUCUACCCAUGAAAACUCUAACGAGAUUAAAUCCAAGUCUCUCAAACAGAAAUUCUCAAUUAGUGGGCCACACUUACCCGUUAAUUUCUAAAUUCCGAACUACGUUGGUUUGAUCCCUUUGAAAGGGUACGUAGGCAAUCUAGAGAUUCAAUCUAGAUGCAACCAUCCCAAAUGCAAUUCCAUAUCGAAUCCCUGGUUUAUUCAGCUAAAUUCACUCAAACACUUCUCAAUACAAUUCAAAUCAAAUUUCCCUCGCAAUGAGUCAUUUAUUCAUUGCGAUUCUUUGAACUAUGAGUGGCUUGAUUCCCGCAAGGGAUACGUAGGCAUCCUGGGGUUGGACUUGGGAGCAGUUGCAAAAUCAAACACACACGUUCUGUUUCUUUAUGAUGGAAUCAAAGGGUGUUCCCUUGAAGCAAGGGAUUGUAAUUAAGAGACUUACGUCUCGAAUGGGUCGAACCUAAAAUAAUAAAACCUCGUUAUUUAAUUAGUGGUGGUGAAAUUAUGUUAGGAUGAUCACUUUUUUCCUUCAACAGGGGUAGCUAGAAAUUAAGAUUUGGUGGGAGGGAUUAUCAGAUGGGAAAGUCUAUGGCUUCAUCAUGAGUCAUCUAUCACAUGAAACUGUCACACUAGAUCUCACAUGACAGGCUACCUUUAUAGAUAUAUAAAUUCAUAAACUGUAAACUAUCGCAUGGUCAUAUUGGAAAUCAAGCGUUAUUUUGGAAGAGUAACAAAUAAAAGACAAGUUGUAAUUUGCUAGCCAUGAUUUCUGCUUUCGAAGUUUUAUUAGCUAGGUAUCUAAAAAAUGACACAGAUUUGUACAACAUUGUACAUAGAAAAUGGAAAAGAAAGUACAAUUACACCUAGAAAUGAGUUUCGAUUAAUCCCUUGCACAGAAUAAGAAACUAAUUAUAAUUUAAUAUAUGGUACCAUACGCCCUAGGGUUAGGAUAUACAUAUGUCCACAUAUAUGGUUGCGUGCAGCCGGGGUGGAUGGAGAAGAUGAUGGAUCCGAUCGCCGAAGCAGUAAUAAAUAAACGGAUGCAAAUGAAGUAAUGAAUGAAUAGGAUGAUCAAGGUUUAGUGGAGAGGGACUUGAUGAAGGAAGCACUCUUGGUUAACUCGCGGAGUGGUUUGUCAGUAAAUCUAAUCAAAUUGUAGGCAAAUCCACCGAGUACGGUGCCCACUAUUGGACCUGCAAAGUAAAUCCACAGUCCUUUGUAUGUGUGCAUCACAAUUGCUGGCCCUAGGCUCCUCGCUGGAUUCAUUGAUGCCCCUGAUACUGGCCUGCAUGCAUAUAUAUUCAAUUUCUUUAACUAGCUAUUAUCAUGUUAAUUAUAACUGCGAAGCAAAUUUUUAGGUAAAGAUGUGGAAAAUCAGCGGUCCAUGCAUAAAUGUAUAUAUGUACCCGGCAACGAAGACAUCGAUCACUAUUGUCAUUCCUACAGCAAUUCCUGCCAGUUCUCCAAUCUGCAUGCAUAUAUAUAUAUAAAAUGUAAAAUGAAUAUAUCCAGGAGAUGGAAGUUGAUUAAUAUAAAAAUGAAGAAAGAUAUUAAUUAUAUACUAACAGCUCUGUUGUCGGUGGCAACGCCUGAAAUAACAAACAUCAAAAGAAAGGAGGCAAUGAUCUCAAUGAUCAAAGAUCGAAUAUCUGAUCCAACUGGUAAAGUACCAAAGUAUGCGGUUUGGGGUACGUCCAAAAGAAGGCAUAGCGUCCCGCUUGCAAGGAUGGAUCCUAACACCUGCGCCACAACAUAUAGAGGCACCUGCAAAUGCAAUGCAAGUAUUACAAAUUAAUUAAUUAACAUCAAGAAUGUAAUUAGUUAGUUAAUUAAUUGGGAUUAUAUAUAGAGUCAUGCCUCUUUGACUGGAAAGUGGCGAAAGAUGGCAAAGGUGACGGUGACAGCGGGAUUAAAGUGGGCGCCGGAGAUAUGGCCAACGGAAUAGACCAUGACCAUAACAAUUAAUCCCCAAGUAAUUGCAAUCCCUGGAAAUGUUACAGAACCGUAAAUCUUAUUCACUGCUACCGAACCACACCCGAUAAAUACCACGAAAUAUGUCCCAAUCACCUCUGCAAUUACCUGCACGUGAGGAGGUUUAAUUAGGUAUUAUGCAUGCAUAUAUGAAUAUGAUAUAUAUAAUACUCAGUGAGAUCCAUCAGCCACCCACAAGGCGUUACCUUUUGGGUAAGUUGAACAAUCUCAGAAGAAGAGCAAAUCCCAGAAUUUGUGCUGUCUGUACCCGAGCUGCCACCUUCUUCCAUCUUUUUCAUGGCUUGAUCAGACAUUUUGUUACUCUUUAUUUUAACUAUAUGCUACACAAUUUUCCCAAUACUAAUUAGUAUCUCUCUCUCUCUCUCACUCUCUCUCUCUCUCUCUCUCUCUCUCUCUCUCUCUCUCUCUCUCUCUCUCUCUGAUCUCUAGGAAGCAAGCAAUCAAGAAAUAUAAUAUUGGUGUGACUGGAAAGAAAUUUAAAUUGCAAACAAUGUCCUGGUUUUGGGUAAAGCAAUGGUUCGCCUGUUUUAGCGAUUAGCCAAUGGAGUUAAUGUUUGUACGAGUUUCAUUUUAAUGUAAGCCCCGUAUUACACCCAACUUACAUCUUCAUUAGCAAAAACUUGUACCAACAAUUCUUGGGUUGCAUGGAUUUCUCUUUUGUUUUUCUUUUCUUUUGUGAAACAUGAUGUCAAUUGGUCUAGCGGCCCAUGUUUACACGAGACAUUCAAAUCCGAUACACAUUGAGGACUACUUAUUUAUCAUUAGUCUCCCAUACAUCCUUUUUGGAUACGUGAAAUAAAUGAAUGCAUUGAGUUGGGCCGUUCUAAAUCUUCUAGUUGGACCUCCAUCUUUAUUAGCUUAUUGUGUUUUGGGCUCUGGCUUCACUUGUAGCCAAAAAUAAUGAAACAUGGUUUAACAAUUGGUUGUGCAGAGAUUGAUUAUUUUCAUGAAAAAUAAUAAAGCAAUUAAUUGGAUUAAAAUUAUAGUAUCAACUCGCAUUUAAACAUAAAGUUUGCCUUGAUAGAGGUCCACAGCUCGACAUUUCCUUGCUGUGCAGGCAUUAGCUUAUGGCAUUAUCCCUAGAUACACACCAAUUUAUAUUAUUGGUCCAAACUAAAUAAAUUCCAAAGGCUAGAUGAUAUAUAUAUAUAUAUAUCUGUGUGUGUGUGUGAAUUCAAACAAAUAAAAGCAGGCAAAAAAGAGGUGCAAUAAUCAGAAAGGGACAUGGAUGGGGCCUGACAUCCGAUCCGAUCGAUGGAGUUAGAUAGAAGGUGGGCGUAUGUAUAUGUUGUGAAAUCGCUUAUUGGCUUAUAAUAAGAAAUUUUCUUUGCUUUUACAUGCACUGUCUUUCUCUGUCUCUGUCAAUAGUCUCAACUCUCAAGCCAACCCAAAACCCUAAUGGACUGGAAUGGAAUGGAAAUGGUCCCAAAGCCACAGCAGUUGUUGGUCCAUCUCUGUGCUGGCUCCUGUUCGUUGUUCACCCUACACUGACCAUGACGGCAUGACCACCCCCUUCUCUAUCUCUCUCCAUGUUUUGAUUCAUUUUUGUUUGUAUGUAUUUAUUUUCAUCUGCACCACGCCUUUAUUGUUUUGGUCCCAACCCAACCCAAAAGCCUCCAACACCAACUUGCACGAAUUUAAUACCAAUUCCUUGUAUAUCUAUAUAUUAUAUAUAAUAACUUAUCUGAAAAGCAUGAGUUAGGUUCAGUUUAGGGUAUAUAUAUGUUACCACCCGAAUAAAUUUUGUUAUAUCAAAAUCGGAUAAAGGAGCAUAAUAUUUCAUGUAACUGAUUUAGUCACGCAGUAUAAUCAUAGUUACAUAAUUGGCAUUGGCAAGAUUUGAUUUGGAUGGGGUGUUGCCUGCAGACUUUGAAGCAUGGCCCCCAUGUAUGCUGGAGAAUCAAGCCACGCGCACGAGGACACCACCAUAUGUUUUUUAUAUUGUCUGCCCUACUCCCACCUAAUCAUCCAUUAAUUAUUAUAUAAUUAUUAUGUCCGAGGCUAUUUACGUGCUGCUACACAUAUUGAACUUCAUUACCAUUUCCAUGUAAGUAAUUUUAGUAAAAUCAAAAACCAAAGUUCAUUAUUUGUCGAAUUCCAAUCAUUCACGCAUACAUAUAUAUAUAUAUAUAUAUAUAUAUGGACCAAUAUCGUCUAGCGACACGUAUCUUUUAGAUUGCCAACCACCACCACACCACCAUUCAGAUCUUAGACACUUAGAGUGUGUGUGUGUGUGAAGUACAAAGUGAUGGCAGUGUACUGUGUACGACUUAAAGUGUCGAAUAAAUUAGCCACAAAACCAUGAAUCAUGCAGAGAAUUGAGCUGCAAAAAUGUAGUGAUGAUAUGAUUUCAGUUCAAAGGGUCUGGACUUUUAAGGCACUCAGGUUGAAGUGCUUUGUGGGGACUGUACUGCUUGUUUCUGAGGCCUUCCAUAUUUUAUAUAUCAUCCACACAACACAAAGUUCCCUUUGCAAAGGUAAAGACUAAAGAGUCUUAAAAUGGUAGGACCCUUCAGUUAGACCUUAGCUAACGUAGAGAGAGAGAGAGAGAGAGAGAGAGAGAGAGAGAGAAGUGUGGUUCGUGUCACAUUGGGGUCCAUUCCCUUUGUAUCCAAAGAAAAGUGCUUCCUGCAAAGUCCAAAAGCUCUGCAAAACUUGGUUCCUCCAAACAGUCCCUACCUUACUUGGAUUCUCUAUAUGUAUCCUUUCCUUCCGUUUAUCUACGGGGGCCUCCCUCCUCAGUGAGCAAUUAUACAUAGCUAACCAUGGCAUGUUUGGCUACAAUGUUAGUUGUUUCAAACCUCCUUUAAUUUUUCGUCAAAAAAGAAAAAAAAAGAAAGAAAAAAACCUCCUUUAAUUAGCUCCACAUGACCAAAGUAUGGGCAUCCACAUGAGCAUGGGCCCCGCCCUAAUGCUUUAGCCACCUGUGUGCUUGAACUGUACGAUGAUCAAUCUUUAAUCGUCCAUGCCAUUGCUCUCAGGCCCCGCCAUUUAGUCCACAUCGAUCAACAAUCAUACUGGUGGUGCCAUGCCAUGCAUAUGCACUGCACAUAAUAAUUGUGGUCUAUCUAUCAUCUAUCAUCUAUCAUCCAUUUAUGGGCUCAAAAAUAUCAUCUAAAACAAUAACUUGAUGUUGUUUGCCAAAUCUCGAGAUUAACAUAUUAUUUGUUUAAUUACCCUAAUUAAUGUCAACUUAUUUCCUAACAUGGAUGGAACGAUUGAUUGAUUUCUUCAUUCUUUUGAUAGAAUUAGCCAGUAGGAUUAUAGAUAGAGAUAAUGAGAAAUUAAAAGGUGAGGCUGAGGUUGAUGGAGCAGAGUGCACACGUGGGGGUGAGAACUAAAUUUUGUUGGAUUGUGGCUACAAAUGCAUGUGAAAGUGUACCGUGAACAUGGAUCUAGGGUUCAUGAGUCGUCGGUUUUCGUAACUCACCCAUUUGCAAACUCCAACACCAUCGCUUUCGCGUUCUGGCGGGCGUUCAGCCUGCCUUUCUGCCUGCUUUGGACCUCUUUUGGAUAUCAUGGAGCGAGCAUGUUGGUCGUCUUUCUUGCCUCUCUUCUUCCUUAUCUUUAAUUUCGUGAUCUACGGCCUAAUUCUUGUCUUCGUCUUAUUUAUUAGUUUCCUCCUCCUAUAUGUGUGUGUAUAUAUAUAUUCUUCCAUCAUCUUUUUUUUUUUUUUUUUUUUUUACAGAGAUCAUAUAAUAAUAACUUAUAUUGCUUGGGUUUUAGUUAACACCUAGUGUUCCACUGUGUAGUGCGUAUGUUCCCUCCCAUAUCGACACCGUCUCCUUAAUUCAAAUCUUGGGAUACGGGUUUUGCCAAAUGCCUAAUCCCAACACUCACCAAAUUAAUAACAUUUAAAUAUGGAUGGGCUUUUGCAUGCUCAUUGUACAGUAUUCACGAGAGUAUUUUUGCUCAUCACCUUAACUUAAACUGUACUCUCAUCAUCAUUAUUCUCAACACUUAAUAUGUGUCUAUGAGCAUAACCAUAGUUUCAUAAAUACAAAAUAAAGAGUUAAUUAUGGUUAUAGCUAUAAACAAGUGUUAAGUAUUGAAAAUUAUGGUGGUGAACAAAAAUAUUUCUCAGUACUCACGUAGUCACACUAGUUAUUAUUAGUUUAGAGGAGAUAAUAGUUAAUGUACAUAUUAAUUAGUACUUGAAAGAUGGCCUUAAUUUAUGGGCGCACGAAAGUUAAUGAAGGUUGAAGAUUAGGGUUUAGGUGACAUCAGUCUUCUAUUCUCCAUUAUCUUGAUCUUUGAAGACCAUUUAGAACAUUUCCAGCCCACAAGGGAAGCUCGAGUAAGAAGGGGCCUUAGCCUAGUUUCGAGCUUCUACAGCCUGGGCAAAUGGUGGGGACCACCAACCUGAGCAAGCGCAAAGGCAAAACGAGCUCAAGCUCAUGUCAGAGGGCAGCUGACGUCAGUGCCUCAGUUUGAAACUUUUAUGCGCUAACGCCAGCCAGGCGUCAGCCCUGAUUUCCGCCAACGGCUAGAAGCCAUGUGGCUUGUCCGAUCCCUCCAAUCCAACAGUUGCCCUUUUUUUUGUUAAAAAAAAUUGAAAUUUAAAAAAAAAAUCCCAAAAAAUUUAUGCAUUCUAUAUCGCCCUCGAAAAUUAACAAUAUAGUACAACGAAUUUAAAAUAAAAUAAUCUUCCAAAAGAUUCUUACUCCGAAAAUGCUUACGUCUGUCUACGUUAGGGCCACGACCGACUUGUGAACCAUGGUGGUAGCUUUGGCUUGACAGAUGGAGCAUACCCACUGCAAUGGCAACUUGUUCAUCAUCUUCUUCCUCCUCCCUUUGUUAUUCAACUCGUUUGCAACUUCUUUCUUCAAUUGCUCGCUCUUGCCUCUCCAAGCACCUCCUCAUGUAAGACAUUAAGAGUGGAAUGUGUUUUCUAAAAUUUGAGAAAUGAAAGGAUAGAGAGGAUAUGGUGUGAGAGAUCUGAGUAGGCUCUAGUUUUAUAAAGGGAUGUAUAAGAUAAAGAUGACACGUGAUAUAAUUUUAGAGGGUGAAAAUUUUAUUUGAAAUAUGAAAUUUGUAUUUUAUAAUAAAUAUUGACACGUGGCAAUUGAAAAUCUCAUCUGAAAUUUGAGAUGUGAAUUUUUUAAUAAAUAUGGACACUUAGCAACCGAAAAUCUUAUCCAAAUUAAUCAUUUAAGUAAAAAAAAAUUAAAAAUUAAGUGAAUAGUAUUUGCCUUUUGCCAUGGCAAUGGAUGGAAACACAACAAGCAUUUUGCAAGGGCUGCCACUAUUCAUGUGAAUAGUAACAUCCAUUGUCUUACCCUUGUCCCUUGACUUGGCAAAUGGGUGGAAGUGUUAUUAAGUGUAAGCGCUAAAAGAAGUAAGACAUGAGAAAGAAAUGGGCAGACGCGUAUAAGUUUUGCAUGCAUAAAGAGAAAAAAUUUGUUUAUUUAUAUAUAUAAACAGAACAAAGAAAAUCGAAAAUCUGUAAUCCAUUGGAUGUAAUAUUAAGGACAUGUCACUUUAUAAUUAAAAGGUUGUAACAAAAACAAUUUACACUUUGCAACCUACCUUCGUUUCGUAUUUUUCUUCUUCCUCAAUGCCUGUGUGAAGUUUUGCAUAUUUUUUAUGAAAAUGAAUUGUACAUUGUUUUCACGAAAUACAUACAUAUAUACAAGCCGAAAAUUACAUGGAAGAUCUGUCAAAUCAUUCGUAUUGAGAUUUAGAGCUGGCGUCAUGAGGCUGAUGAUCACCACAACCGACUUCGACUUGUGGGAGGAGGUGAUGUUCUGUGAUCAUUAUGAAUGAAUGAGUGACAUACACAAAUUGAUUGCCACCCAUCACGUGCUAUCAUUUUCCUUAUUUAUUAAAAAAAAAAAAGUUGAACUGCUGACCAGCCCACCACUGCCUAGUCGGCCUAUGGGCCUCCUAAAUUAAAAAAAUAAAAACUAACAAAAGUAGGGUAGGGUUGCGGGCGCAUCAAAAACGAAAAGCUACAAAGUAACCUAAGCCUAAAUUGCUUUUUGACUCGAGCUUAUCAACUUUUCCGCUUUUUCUCAUCUCACUUUUUAUCUUAAGAGAAGAAGAAGCAGCAAGCAACUUCAAAGCCCCUCCUUUUUGUGCAUCCAUAUACAAAAUGGUAGAAGAAAGACAAUGUGGUUUCAAUUAAAAUUCAACCAAAUGCCUUUGCUUGCUCUAACCCAACUACAAAAAGUCUCCACAAGUUGCUUUCGCUUGCAUAAUAUCAAGAAGAAGAGGGUGGUCCAUUCACAAGUCUUUAUCCUUGCUGAAAAAUCCAUCCUCUGUCUUUGACUCACUUUUUAUUAACACCUAAUUAACAUAGGUGAUUGACAAAAUUAAUGUCUCCCCUGUCCAAGUUUUUUUGGUACUAAUCACUUCCAGUAGAAAAAUUAGUUCAAUAACGACAAACUCAAAUAAUUUCCGGAUCCACAUUCCCCGGAUAGUAUAUCAUCAAAAUCAUCACUGGGAACAAAGUUAAGAAGACAAAAAAACCUAGACAAGAAAACUAUACUAUACUAGGAAAAUGAUAAAUUAUAUAAAAAUAAAAUGCCAUCUUUAAUAUUUUUGUCACCUAUUCUUUUGUCUUCCAUAUAUUCAUGAACCAAUUUCAAUUGUCACUUCUUUUAUACAAUAAAGGACGAAUUUGCUUGAAAUCGGAGGCCUGACCUGACUGACGAAAUGAAGAGAAUUAGAUAUAUAUGAUUGAUUUAGGGAUAUAUGCUUUUCCUUCUUUUCCUCUCAAGGCUACACAGACUUGCGUUGCGUUGCUCCCUUCCAACAAGCUUUCAUAAAUUAAGAUAAACUUUGGCCUCUAAUGGGAGCAUGAUCCUUAUAACAGGGCUUCCCCUUCUUUAAUUACAAAAAGUCAAAAAUCUAUUACUUUUGCUCCCAAAAAUUUGGAAUAAAAACCUUCAACCUUGCCGAAUUCCUCCUCCUGCUAGCUUCUUUCUCAUAUGCCGGAAAAUCCCUCAUCAAGCUUGUAGGUACAUACUCCAAAAUCACAAUUUAAAGUGUGACACAAUUGCGCCACAACAUACAACUCUCUUGUGUUUAAGCUUCUAUGACAACAAACAUUUACAGUCCGAGAAUAAUGUAGUAGACAAGAGUAAUUGGUAACGCUAUCAACAUUCCAAAUAUAACCCUGCAAUUUUUACAGUUAAGCUAAGUUAAGUUCAUUAAUUAGUUAAUUAAAAGAUAAAUGAAAAAAUAAGAGUGAAUUAACCGACAUAGAAUUAUAUUUUACUAAUUGAGUUUGACAUGUAAUAUGUCUCUACUUACGCAGUGCUGAGAAUGGCUGGAUGGACAUUGUACUCCUUGGCAAACACAAAUGGAACAAUUCCUUGCGGAAGGGCAGCCUAUAUAUAUAUAUAUAUAUGUUCAUUACUAACAUUAAUUAAACAAUUAUAUCUGAAUAAAUAAUUAAAAAUAAAGGUGAUGAUGAAGUGUACCUGGACAAUAGCUAAAUGGAGGAGGGUACCGCGCAGGCCAACAGCAAUGGAGGCAGCAGCCAUGACGGCUGGGCCAGUCAGGAACCUCACAGCCAUUGCAAAUCCGGCGACCGAGUUCCCACAAGCAAUUAUCUUGGGUUGAAGUGCCAUGAACAGACCUAAUUUCAUCAGUAAAUAAUCAGUAAUUCAGUAUAGUAAUUAAAGCUAAGUAAUUAAGCUGCUUAUUAUUAUUAUUAUUUGUUUUUUAAAAAAUAAAAAAAUAAAAAAAUUAUGGGGGGUUUCAGCUGGGUUUCAACUACCUUCACUAAUUUAGAGCGAAUUGGCAUCUGUGACAACCAAUGCCCACCGACCCUGGACCGCAAGAGCAGGACCCCACAUGUCGGGUGGUCAAUACCCAUUUAUAGUCCAAGUUUAAAACUACGUACAAAAGCUGUAAGAAAAGAACCAGUGGAUGGAUGGAUGGUUUUGAUAGAAUACAAAUCACGGUGCCAAACAAAUAUUGACCAACGACUCAAAUUUUGCCACGAAGAUAUAGGCGCCGCAACUCAUUCAAUUUCACAGAUUAUUAUUAUUAUGCUUCUGAAAGUUAUUUAUUAUGCUUGUUCCUACUCUAAUACAAACCCCGACCAUGCAUGUUAUUAAUUUGGUAUUAUUGGAGAGAAGGAAUUAGCAAUUUACUUAUAAAUUAAUUGAAAUUAAGAAACAAUUAACUCACCUAAGCUGAACAUAGCCAUUCCUAGCCCAGCAUCGGACAGUAUGGAGAUUGACUUGGCUAUUAUUUUCGGCAUCGCCACAUGCCACCUACAAGUAUAUACGUUGUAAAUAAAUAUGUUCAAAAUUUGUAACAAACAAUCUAAAUAGGAAAUCAAUCAUUAAACUUCAUUUUAAGUUGUCUCACCGGAAAGCGAUCAGAGACCAGAUGAGACCAAUGAGACUAGAAUACGUGUUGGGAUUGCGGAUAAGCUUGCGCCACACCAUGAUCAAGAUCAGACGGGUCAUAACGCUCGCAGGAGGCAUUUGUUUUCCGCUACCAGACGGAUCGUGCUCAGGACCUCCACCGCCCUUUGGGUGUAGCUCAGCUGUUGAGCUCGAACCCACCUUGUUGAGCCCAGUGGGUCCCUCUUUUUCCCUCUCUUCCUCUCCCUCUGCAGCACCACCCCUCCCGCCAAAGCUAAACGCUUCUCCACCAUACACCCCCUCACCACCACCACUCUCAGUAACAGCCACUACACAUUCAUUAAAUUAAAUUAUAAAAAUAUUGAAUUAUUAAUUAAUGCCCAACAGAAUAGUGGUUAGUUACCUUUGUUUUCUCCAUUUUGGGGGUGAUCAGCAACCAACAUCCUUAUCUCCUUAGCGCCCUGAUCGGACCGUCCAGAUUGCUCGGACGCGCCAAAAUCAGUACCGCCAAAUACAUGGAGCCCACCGCCUUCCGAAACAGGGGAGGCACUGGAGCUCCAAACAAACAUGUGGAGCUCCUUAGCAUCAUGUGGAUGACUAUUCGUUUUAGUAGCACCAUUAUUCAAAGCCUGUUGCGCUGCCACUUGCGGUUGCUGCUGUUGGUUUUUGGUACUGCUUUUACUGACAGGGGCCGAGAACUCGGGAUUCGGCCCCGGGUAUGAAGCCGGUACCGUCUGCGCCGGGUAAAACCCAAACCGCGGAGACGUAACCGUCUGCGCCUGCGGCAUUGGAGUCUCUUCGAAAUUUGACGGUCUCGGAGUCGGACCUCGGGAGGACUGAACCGAAUACAAGUCGGCGGGUCCGAAAUUGGAGUGCCUCGUGUUGAAGCCUUGAACUCCCAUCAUGGAGUAAAAAUCGGAGGGGUUGAAAUUCGAGCCCCUCGGAGUCGGGUUCCGGGACGAGCUCAAGCUGUAAAUCUCUGCGCCUGUAAGGUUAGAUGGCCGAGGCGUCAUUGCGGAGAGCGACCGCCGGGAGGCGUUGGACUUGCGGACCUUGACGUGGAGCUUACCGUCGUCUCCAAUCUCGGCGUCGGUCUCGAGGAAAUCGCGGCCGUCGAGCGAAACGACGUCGGAGUCGACUUUGAAGGAGACGAUGGAGGCGGCGGUUUCGGGGAACUGCUCCAUGAUGAGGAGCUUGGCGCCGCGGUACUCGAAGAGGAAGAGGAGGAGAGUGUACCAAAUGAUGCACUGCAGGACCACCACUUGCACCAUGAGGCUGCCGGAUUCGGGGAUUUUGUGGCCGUACAUGGCGAUUAGGAGGGGAAUUCCCAUGACGAGAGUGUUGGGGAGGGUGGAGAGGGAGAAAAUGGUGAUCAUCCACUCGAGGCUACCGUUGCGGGUGAAGUUGGUCCAGAGGCCCAAGGCGAAGAGCAUGAUGAUUUUCUGGAGGGUGUCGGCGGCGAUGAAGCGGAAGUUCAUGGUGUAGGGGUUGUUGGUGGAGAUGAAGUGGAAGGAGAGUAAAGGGACGGCAAAGAUGGCGACGAAGCGGUUGAUGCCGGAGCACUGGUCAGGGGAGAAGAUCUUCCACCACCUGACGGAGCCGUAGGCUAAGAUCAUGGCAACGUACAGCGGCACCACCGCCGUUAAGACGUUGUAAAGGUCGUGCCACGAUAUCAUUUUGAAUUGGUUAGUUAUCAACUUGUGUUUGUGAUAGAGAAGAGAAGGGAAGAGAAAAGUGCAAAGGCUCUUCGCCUGGCUUAGUAAUUCAGAGUUUGGGUUCAGAUCUGGUGGUGGCGGUGGUGGUGGAGGUUUGGUGGCAUUUGGAUGUGAAUUGGAGAAGAGGGAAAGGGCAAAAUGGGAAGAAGGGGAAAACCGUUAGAUAACGAACUGGGGGAUUGGGAGAGGGAUUAUUGGGCACGUUCUCUUGUGCAGGUGUUGUUGGCUGCGCUCAGUCAGUGUGCUUUUCUUCUCAUACGGCUGAUGACCCUAGAGAGAGAUAGAGAGAGGGAAACACUGAUGAGAGUGUGUGAGAGAGAAGAGAGAAGAGAGAAGAGAGAGAGUAGGGGAAGGGAGGGAGUGAUUUUACAAGGGGUUGUAGUAACUUUGGAGGGAAUAUAUAUAGGAGGCCACACAGAUAAGAGAUUAGAUAUAAUCUAUAGAUAUACAUACACACUCAGGCGCGUAUAUGUUGCCGAUAUCAUUUUUAAUUUAUUUAAUUUAAAAACUUUAAAUCCCAUCAGCAUCAAGUGAGAGUCUAUUUUCCUGCUGCAAAGAUAAGUCUUUUGUUUACAUUUUAUACGAACUUAUUUGUCUGUUGAUUCCUAUUCCGUUUUCAAUACGAGCAUCUUAAAUUUUCCAACAUGUGACUUCAAAGCUUUCGUUUUCUUAACAUAUGAUAUGUUAUGAGAGUAUUUUUAAUUCUUGUUAAGUCUUUUAUGAUUUUUUUCGUGUGUAGAGUGAGAGAGUGAGCGUGUGCAAUAUUGUACCUAGUUCCUAUAGAUUUGGGGCCGUGACAAGAGAGAGAGAGAGAGAGAGAGAGAGAGAGAGAGAGAGAGAGAGAGAGAGAGAGAGGGGGUGUAUGUGUACAUGUAAUGUGUGUGUGAAGUGAAAGGUGGUUGGGUUAGGAAUUGACCGCCUAAUAUGAUUAGCUUAACCCAACAUGGGUUCCUCCUACACGUGGUAGUACUCGUGUGGUAAUAGGUUGUUCAAUGACGUGGACAGUCUUCUAUCUUCUUUUUCCACUUUCGUUUCUAGUUUUCUUUAUUUUGGUCUAAUUCUGGUUGCUCUUGUCUGUAAAUAAAAAAUAAAAAAAAAAUUGAUAAAAAUGAAUCGUAUUUCAGGAUCCCCUGCUGCUAAAGAAAUAAAUUGGUGAAAAAAAGAAGUCAAAUGAUUCAAUCGCAGUAUAGUAAGUUACCACCUAACUGUUGGCGUGACUUGUGGAUAUUGACUUACUUUCCUUACACACCAAGAAUUCCUAUUAUAAUUGUAAUUGAUUUACUUUAAUUCCUGAUUUCCUACUGUAAAUAGAUUUAGGAAUUUAUUAUUUACUUGCCCAUUCAGGUUUCGUUGUAUUAUAAAUAUGACCUCCUACAAUGAGAAGAAUACACAGAAAAUUCCCACAAACAAAUAUUCUCUCAUAGUUUUAAUAUUUUAGCAUGGUAUCAGAGCCAGGUUCGAUCUAGGGACCUGUGCUUGUGUUCUUCUUGAAAUUUAAGUGCUCUUCUCCCCCCUUGAGAGGGGGGGGAGGGGGAGUGAAAGGGAUAUGUUUAUUGACCUAUCCCAAUUACCUUGACAUAUUUCCAUGAAGAUGUUGCUUAUUUCUUGACUCCGACGUCCCCUUCUCUUCAAGGGGAGAGGAAGAUUGAAGAGAAGUUGUGUCUGAGUGAAUUAACUAAAGUUUAUAUAGAAGAAUUUAUUGUUGCCACUGCCGUGCUCAUGGGGUUUCGGUGUUCUGCCUUAUCAAUUGCUGUGCUCACACAAUUUGUGUUCUGCCUUACCUACUGCCGUGCUCACAGGGUUUCUGUGUUCUGCCUUAUCCACACCCGUGCUCACAGGGUUUCUGUGUUUUGCUAUGUGCCCUAUUUUUUAGGGUUUGCUCUUGUGUUUCCGCUGUGAACUUUGUUUUAGUUUGUCACUUGUUUCACUCGUGGUUGACUAAAAGAUCUUCUCUACAAUUGGUGUUUCUCAAGUAUGGUGUCCUGUGACUCGCUUGUCAAGUUGGGCCUGCGAAAUAUCUUUGCCCAACUUGAGGGGGAGUGUUGGCGAGUCCUUAUUUCAUUAGAAUUUUGGUUACUUACCAAUUAUAUUUUGUCCUAUUGUAAUAGAGAUUAUUUUAUUUAGUGUUAUGGGGGUUGAUGAUUUUUUCAACCCUCAUAGAGGUAGCACCAUCGACUCAUUCUCUCAUUCUCCACCAACCAUCGUUGAGUUGAGUGCCCAGAUGGCUCCGCUCCUAUAGAUGCAGACUUUUACCUCGAACCUAAUCCAGAAUCAGGAUCCUCUUUUGACGACCCCGACCUCGACUCCGACUAUGACGACAACGACCCCGACCCCGACUCCGAAGACGACCCCGACCCUGACUCCGAAGACGACCUCGACCCCGACCCCGACCCCAACUCCGAAGACGACCCCGACCCCACUCCGAUGAUGACCCCAACCCCGAAUUUGGCUCUGAUUCAGACCCUGAUCCCGAUUUCAACUCUGACUCCGGCCUCGACUCAGGCUCAUAUUCCGAUCCCAAUUCGUACUCAACUGUAUCCUAUGCAUCUUCCGCUGCACAGAUUAUGACUUCUCGACUAACGACCCCGACACAUGGACCAGAUUGCGCAUUUUGUGAAAUCCGAGGAUCAAUUGGCGGAUAUUUUGGCAAAGGCGAUUUCCAGUAAAGCAUUCCACAAUUCACUGGAUCAGUUGGGCAUUGGCGACAUCUAUGCACCAACGUGAGGGGGAGUGUUGGCGUGACUUGUGGAUAUUGACUUACUUUCCUUACACACCAAGAAUUCCUAUUAUAAUUGUAAUUGAUUUACUUUAAUUCCUGAUUUCCUACUGUAAAUAGAUUUAGGAAUUUAUUAUUUACUUGCCCAUUCAGGUUUCGUUGUAUUAUAAAUAUGACCUCCUACAAUGAGAAGAAUACACAGAAAAUUCCCACAAACAAAUAUUCUCUCAUAGUUUUAAUAUUUUAGCACUAACUAGUAAGCGAGCAGAUUGAGGUUAAAGAUGACAAAAUUUGGUUUGAACAGAGUCAAAGAAUGAAGCACAACGUACUUAAAAGUUUGGCAGAGAUCCUGCAAUUCAAUCAAACUGAUUGUUCAUCAGAUUGUGACCAUCACAUCCUCAAACAUUUUAUCGAACAAAUUCUCGCAUGCAUGCACAUUCAAUCAUUUUGCCCAUCCAAUCCUACUCUUCCACUUAACAUGGUACACCCUUCUUCUCUCUCUCUCUCUCUCUCUCUCUCUGUCUCUCUCUCUCUCUUCAGUACUAUUAUUAUAAAUAUAAAAAACGAUGUAUAUUUUACCCUAUACUAUACUAUACACCCUUUUAUUUUGUCGACUCUUCUUGUAUGAUUUAAUGUCAUAUAUAGAAAUAAAGACGAUAAACAAACAAAGUUUUAGGUGAAUAAUUAUUAAUAAUUGUCACAUUGAUUUUAUCAUAUCUCAAAAUUGGUAUAUUUUAUACUUUUUUAUUCAUAGGUAUAUUGUUGUUUCGUAAGGAUCAAAUAUUUUUUUGACCAAUUUUAUCUUCUUGUAGGUACCGUGGAUUAUGAAGAUAGUAUAAAAUUUAAAUAAAUAAUAAAGUAUCGAUGCAAAAAAUCAGAAUGUUCAGUUUCUUGCCAUAAUUAUUUAAAAUGGGAAAAUGGGCACAAAACAAAAAUGAGAUGCAAGAUAGUGGGUGUAGAUAAAAAAAAGAAGAAGAAAAGAGGUGGGUAACAGAAACCAAACCUUUUGGGGUCCUAAAGAGCCCUUAAGUUUGUUUAUAAUUUUCCCUAUUUAAAUGAUGCAUGUUUUGAGUCGGGCUCGGGAGGAAUUUGACGGUGGGUAAUCACAGCCAAAAGGUCCCUACUUUUGCGUGACAUGAUAAUGUAUUUUCAGUCAUGCAGAGCAAAGGCCAAAGAGGACUGAUCAAAUAUUUUAGGUAUAAGUGAAUGCGACUGAUGUUUAUCACUCAUGAACUUCCACCUUCCUUUUAUUCCCUUUGAUAUAUGGAAAUGGAUCACCCAAAUCAUUAGCUCAACCCCCCUUCCUUUCCCAUCGCCAUUUUAUUUUUAUUUUUAUCAAAGCCAUUGAUUAAUUCAAUUCAUGUUUUUUUAAACAGAUUUUUAAUCAAUUAAUUAUUGAUGCCUCUGGUCAUCAUACUGACUAAACAAGAAUAAUAUUGUUUUAUUAUCAGCGAUAUGAGAGUUUUUUACUAGUAAAAACAGAUACAUGCAUGAAAAAGUUUGGUAUAUAAGAUUGUAUUCCCUUGGAUUGGAACCUUUUCAAAUCUUUAUGAUUCCAUCAUGCAGCUUCCUCCUUAAUUUCGUGACAAUUUUAAAGUAAUUAAUUAAUUAAUUAAUGAGUAUUGCAGGGGUUCGAAAUCUGUUGAAAGCACUUUGUGGUCAGGAGCAAACCGAAUUUCGAGCAGAGACUAAUCUCAUUUUUUAAGUGUGAGAACACCUCGUGGUAUUUACCAAAAAAGAAAUCAAUGAUGAGAAUUGUGAAGGGGGUCUAUUUUGGUGCAUGACUUUUACUUACAUUAUUCAAUAUGAACUUUUUUCAUAAGAAUCAAAUAUUGCAAAGUCAUAAAAAGCUAUAUAUAAUUGAUAACCUCAAGAGUAGCAAGCAUUAUUAGAGUUAAAGAGAGAAGAGAAGAUGACUGAGAUGUGACCAAAGCCAAAGAGAAAGGUUAUAAUAUAUAUAGAAAAGUUGAUAGAGGUCCAAAAAUCCACAAAUGUGUGCGCGUACGGUCGAAAGAUGAGUGGUUCCACUUCCAAGUGGCUCUCCUUUUCUGCAGUUAAUUGCUAGUAGCUUAGGCUUAGCUAGAGGCUUAAUUAGCUAAGGAAACGUGUUUGAGUCAAAAGAUGUGAGCCUGUCAGGCCUUUGGGCGUCCCCCACAACCCAUGCUCAUCAGUCAUGGCCAUGCAUGCUGCUGCUUCUGCUGGAGCCCCCCCAACCUCAUCAUCUUCCCUUUCCCCAUGCCAACAUGCCACCAAAUUACUACAAUAUGCUUGCUGAGUUCAUAAACAAUCUUUAGAAAAUGGUUUUCUCAUAACUUAAUUCAUAUUUAGAUCAUAAUCACACCAAAUUGACCCACAUGGAUAUAUAUGUAUGGUCAAUUUUACAAUAAUUAAACACACCAGGCAUCACUCUCCUUUCUUGAAGCACUUUUCACUUUCUCCUAUAUAAAGGGUGCAAAUUCUAAACCCCACAUAUUAGUACUUAAAAAAGAAGCUUGCAUUGCGACGACUUAAGCAAGAAUCUAGGACCAUGGCUUUUCUUUGUGGAGGGUCGUUGUUUAUGCUUACCAAACAAUGUGGUAGGGUUUGAGACAGCAAAUAUGAAUUAUUAACUUUAAGAUCGACCUUUUGCCCAUAAAUAUACGAACAAAAAUGCUAAUUAUAUCGUAUUUAUGUACCAUAUUUUUAAUAAAAGUGAAUGGUAUGCAAAUGCAUAUACCUACACAUACGCACAGCCUGCCCGCUAAGGACUUCCAGUUAUUCUCAUUGGGCCUAUUUCGUAUAUCUUCUUCUUCGUACCAACGGUCAACAUAGAUUGGCCCAAUUUUAGGGUUUCCAAGCAAUUGCUAGCAUUAUUGAUUGAGCUCAUGCCGCAUUCCGAAAUUGAUUAACUAAAAAAAAGAGAAUUGCAAACCAACUUGCAUUUCGUUUUUCACAAGCUCCUCUUUAAUUGGAUUGGAUGAUCAUAAGUUGAUUAUUUAUAGGCAUAUAUAUAUCAACUUUAAAUUAGGCACAAAUCCAAAUGCAUCGAGUGUAUAAUAUUGGGAAGACCACGUUCACAUGCAUCGUAAUGGGGACUGUUAAACCGCAAUUAUCCGUUCCACGUACACGUGAGUCGUGACUGACAACAAGGUUGACUCAAUCUUGGGCUCUGAUCAUGAUAAAGAUAGGGUUGCUAAUUACAAGGGAAAUGUUAUGAGCAGCAGGCUAGCAGCAAUAAAAUUAGUGUAGGUAGCAAGUUAGCAACACCAAGCAAGUAGAUUUCGUGCUUGUGGGGUGGGGUCUUAGUUUAUUCAAUCCCAAAGCCAACCAUGUGAAAGAACAUUCUUUCUGAGUUGGUGACACAAACUCUCAUUCCUCUGCCAUUUCCAUCCUCACCUAAACUCUCAUUCCUCUGCCAUUUUAUUAUAAUUAAUUAAUUAAUUAAUUAAUAAAAAAGGGGGGAACAUAUUAAAUGGGAACUUGGGGACAUGUUGAGUGUAUGUUUUGACAUAUUAUAUUACAGGUUGGAAAUCAACUUUGUGACUAAAUUUAUGAUAAUGUGUGAUGACCGUCCAUGACCGUCCAUUUGGAAUAAAGAUGAUGCCCAUGUGAUAUAUGUACCUUAGGUGUGUGAAUUUAUUCUAAGUGUUCGGUUGGGAGGGAGGGAGGUAGUUCAUGUAAAAUGAUUAUGGAUUACAAGACAAGCCAAUGCUUAACUUUGCCCUACUUAACCCCCGUUUCCGAGGACCAGAUGUUACUCUACAACCCCCCAUAUUGCCACAUAUAUUUUUCAAUUUUAGGUUGUCAAUGGAUCAAGUGAAUUGAGUCCAUUGUUGUUUUUGCCCCAAGGACAAGGAUUGUCGUCGUAACAGGCCCAUUGAUUCCGUCACUUGUACAAAUGAAACCCCAAAGUCUGGGCCUCCCUACGAUCGGGGUCUCGUUGGGCUAACCUUUGCAUCACUUCUAACCAAACUUCUUAUUCAAGCGUAUCUGCGAACAUAAUAAAACAAAAACAAACAAUUAUCAGAAAAUGAAAGAUAUCAAAACGACAGCUGGGCUAUAAAUAUUGGUGUAGAGGGCUUUUCCCUAUGAAAAUCUUAUUGGGUUGUUUCUUGGACUGAACCCAUUAUCGCAUUUUGAGGUCUCUAUGUUUGACAUGACUGCUUAAAGAUUGAAGCAAUUUCAAAAUGGGGUUUGAAAUCAUUGCUAGGCGAAAGUGGCAAACAUGCUAACACAAACCAACAUUGAAACAUUAACAAGUCGUCAGUGUUUUGUGUCCCAACCCAACACCUUGUAUAAACAAUUAAUUAUAUGAACAUUCUCUAAUCUUUCGCUUUUGACUAUUUCCAUUGAUAUUGAUGAUCGUGAUCAAGUACUGGGUCAAAUUACAAACUAAACAAUGCAGCCAGCACCCCGGGAUUAGAGGGCGGGCGUUGCCACUUUAGAGGACAAGGUGGUAGCGGGGGCGGAAGAAAUGUUGGUCUUGGUGGGGCCGCCUCUGUCCCUGUCCCUGUCGAGAGUGGUGGUGGUGGUGGUGGUGACUCGCUCGCAGCGAGGGCACAUGGUGAGUGUAGAUGCCGGAAGAGGCUCACAACUGUGGGGAGAAAGCACGGUGGGUGGGCCCACUUUCAUGGCUCUCAGCUCCUCUACCUCCCUUUGUAGCCUCCUGUUCUGUUCAGUCAGUGAUCCGAACCAUCUCUUCAGAUACUCGCAUUCCAUCUCUGUUUGCUUCAGCUUGCUCCUGCAUCACCAGUCACAUUAAUUAAUUACCAAUAACAUAAUUAUAUUUUACAUACAUGAUAAGAAACACUUUUUUGGUCUAUGUUUUUUUGGUUGGUUGGAUGAUACAUAAGAAACACAUUGAAAACUAUACAUGCAUGUGUAAAACACAUAGAAAACCACAUGCAUAUGUGUAAAAGACAUGGAAAACUUAUUUGAUAUAAAAAUGAAUGAAUGAACUCGCACGUAAUAACUGAUCCAUCCAUUUUCCAACCAUAACAUAUGUGCAUUAAAUAUACUUAGUAUUAUAAAACACUCAAAACCUCAGGGGGGGAAAAAACAAAACCAGAAUAAAUAUGUCCAUGUUGAACUUUAACAAAGAAAACAAGUAAAAAGGGAAAGACUUUUAAUUAAUCAUUUGAGGAAAUCAAAUUGUUAUGGCUUAAAAUAAUGUGAGAGUUGAUGUGGUAAAUCAUACGUACAUAAAAAUUAAAAUCGAUGAUGAAGAUACAUAAUGAUGAUAAAUGCAUGGCUAGUCCAUCCAACGACCGAGUCAAAGCAGGUACUUAUUAUUAGAGUGAUGAAACUGACGAGACUCGCACACGAGGCUACAAACAAUAUAAGUAGUGAUCCUCUUAAUCAAUGCACCACAACAUCAUUAUGUUGUUUAUUCUUUUGGAAGACGACUAUCAUUAUCUUCCUUCAUAAAAGCUCACCUCACGAGUUUAACCGCAUCAUAAUUUUGCAUCUGUACUUUGACCCACCCACAUAUAAUGGUAAACUGCCCAUACUUUCUUAUUAUUAUUAUUAUCAUAUUAGGUUAAGCCAUUUUCAUGCAAAGGAAAUAAAGGAAGGAAAAAAGAAAAGAAUAUUCUGAGUGACAUCUUUUAGCUUUAAAAAGAAAACUGGACAAAGAGAAGGCACUCUCUAUAGUUUUUAAAUAAAAUCUGCCAAAGAUUCUUUACGUGCGUGCGUGCACAAGCGCAACAAGUGACUGACCACUAUGAACAUCAAGAGUUGGAUAGAUAUAUAAUUGUAUGCACAAAUACACAGACAUGCCAGGAUGCCAGGAUAUAAGAAGAAUUAGAUACAAACGAUAAAUAUAAUUUCUGAAAAGGACAUUACCUAGAGAUAUAUAGUACACAGCAUAUUUAAAUCCCAACCACCAACAAAAUAAUUAAUGAAUGGCCAAUUCUAAGUCCAUGAGUCCAUGAGUCCAUGAGUCCACGACCCUAGCUAGUUAUAGCACGCAUAUAGACAUAGAUAUAGACAUUACCUGGCCCUACGAUUUUGAAACCACACCUCAACUUGCCGUGGCCUCAGCUUCAACUGCAUCGCCAACGCCUCUUUCUGUUUCUGCAAACACCAACAACAGUGCUCCAUUAAUUAUUGAACAAUAUUUUAUAUAUACAUGUAUUCAUACGUAUUUGCUUAAUUAAUCCUAUAAACACAGCUUACGUAUAGCUACGUACAGGGUUUAAGGUGUGGUGUUGUCGGAAGCUCUCUUCGAGAAGACGAGACUGUUCCUUUGUGAGACGAAGCUUCUUCCGCGGAGGGCCUGAUCCAUUACUGCUGUCUUCUUCGUCUUCCAUGCCUGCUGUCAUCCAUUCUUCUUGAUCUGCUUGUAUUGAUGGUACUUGGUUUAUGUCCAAACCUCUCACUGCAAAACCCGAUUCACAAUUUUUUGACAUAUUAUAAGAAAAGUCUUCAAACAAAUUUCAGCCACCAAACUUUUCUUUAUGAGACAUGAAAAAGAGAAAGCUUCUUAGGGUUUUGGAGAUUUUCAACAGAGAGAUAGACAAAUAUUGGGAAAGAAGAAGAAAAAAGGUAAAAAGAAGGAGAGACACAUGCAAGAUAUCCGGGUAAAGAUCAUAUCACAUGUGAAACUGAUUAACCCCCCCAAAAAAAAGAUCAUAUGUUUAAAACUUGUAUAAAAAGACAAUUAUUGGGAAUAUUUCACAGAUAAUAGAGAGCGUGAGGUUUUGCCAAAUAAGGCACAAAUAUCAAUUGAGUCUAACAAACUCUAGAAAUGAAGAAGAUAGAGAAAAGAUAAGCUUGGUGGGCUAAUUAAUUACCAGAUGAAUUAGGAAGAGAUGGGUAUGAAGAGAAGCCAGGUACAGAUAUAGUCAACUCCAAGCUCGAAGAGCCUGUUGGUGGAAAAACCGCCAUAAACACCUGAUAAACGUGAUUGCAGGAGGUAUGACGAGAAGAAGAAGAAGGAGAAAGGAGAAAGGAGAAAGGAGAAAGGAGAAAAGAGCAAGGAGAGAGGAGAAGGGUAAAGUAAAAACAGAAUGAGACAGAGAUGAAAGCCACAAAACUAUAUGAUGAAAUAGAGAGAAAAAGUUAAAAGAUGGAAAGGGCAAAUAAAUAGUGGGAGGAGAGAAGAAACAAAACGAAAGGGUAAAGGGGUAAAAAGAAACAAGAAAAAUAUGAAAAUGAGAAGGGUAGAGGGUGGGUUUUGGUUUUGGAUUUGGAGUUGGGUUAGGGUUUAUUUGACUGUUGUUGUCCAAGUCAAAGGGUCUGACCGUUCCGAUGUAAGACACGUGUCAAACUGAAGGAAGAAAAAAAAACCAGUGUAGGAGAAUAACCGGCAAGUUUUCUUGUUUAAGCGAUUAUAAAAGGAAGGAAAGCAGGGUGUCUGAGUCGUGAGUGUGGUUGUCGGUUGAAAGGUCAGCUGAUGAAAUGAUUGGGAAGCAUGAGCUUGGGCCUUGAGCCUUCUUCUCUCCCGCUGCCUGCUACUCCUACACCUAUACACACACACACACACACACACACACACACACACAUACAUACAACAUUUUCAAUGCUCCCCCCCUUCCUUUCUCUCUCCUACCUUCUUCAAAAGGGAAAAUGAUAACUUAUUUAAUGGACCGACCCAUAAGAGUAUUUUGCAUUUUUGUGCCUUUUAUUUAUGAACUUUCAUCAAUCAUCAUAAUAGAUUGAAUCAAGACCAUUGAGAGUUUGAUCACUGAUGCAGAGAAAAAGGAUGGUAUGGGAAAGCAAUGGGGUGGGGCACAUUGGAAAGAAUGUUUUUAAUUUUUAAUUUUUUUAAUUACAUAUAUAUAUAGUUUAUGUCUAAGAGCAUUUACAAUGGGCUCUCUAAAUCACCUCUUUAGAUAAAUUUUAGGUAAGAAUCGUAAAAAUGCAACUUCAACCACGCUUCCUAUCCACCUCCUAAAAUAUGGAGUCCUCUAAGAGCUCCUAAAUCUGAGAGGAGAGAGAAAUGACUCAUAGUGACUUCCUAUAAGGACUUUCUAUCAUUUAAUAUUGAUUUAUUUAAUGAGUAUUUCAAAUAUUUAUUUAAUUCGAACUAUUUUUUAUUUUAUUUUUUAAUAGAGAUGGACCAAUCAAAAAAGAGUUAUAACAUUUAUGAUUCUUCAAAUUGGUGGUGGGUAUAGAAUUAUAAAUGCCAAAGUGUUACGUAGUGUUUGGAUAAUGAGAAGUUGAAUUGAAUGCUUGCGGGUACAAAAUGAAAAUGACAUAAUUCUCCAGAGGGUAUGAAUUUUGGAGCAGAGUCAUUUAUGAAGGGAAGAGCAUGCUAAUUUUGUGCGAACCUCUCUUAUUAAUUGCACCAAUGACUUUGAAUCACUUUCUGCUCUCUCUCUCUCUCUCUGUCUCAUUAAUUUCAAACCUCUUUAUUAUAAAUUGAAAUUACCAAUUUACAUUACGUCAGUGUUCGUAUUCCAUGGCUUGGAAUUGGAAUUGGGAACAUGUUCUUGUUUUUCCAAGAACACGAAUGACCUCUAAUGUAUUCGAUUCAAUUUAAUUAACUUGUUAAUUAAAAUAAGGCUCCUAAUUAUUAAGGAGCAAUUAGUGGUAAAGCUGAAAUGAGUUUUGACCAUGAAUAUCAAUCAAUAAACCAACAAUGGCCCAGAAAAUAAUAUCCUCAAAAAGUGAAGAAUUAUAAAGGGAACCCAUUUUCUGUUUUUCUUGUUAUGCACCAAACCAACCACUUGUCGGCCUAAUUAUCAUGUUGUGUAAUUCAUCUAAACCUCAUUAUUCCUACUUACCAACUACGUUUUAAUCUAGUCAAAUUUGUCUCCGCUUAAUCGAUAAAUAACGUCUUUAUAUUCGUGAUGAGUUUGAUAUCUAGAUGCGUGAAUAUAUUGGCACGUUAGUAUUUUAGGCAAUUUUGCAUCGAGUAAAGUCAUGGGCCUUGUGGCGUGACAAGGCCGUCGAGUCGAUGAGGUGGUUUUUGGUCAGCUUUGUUUGGUCAUUUGCACUCAUUUAUCCACACACACAAUACGAUCUUUCUUUCUUCCCACGCGCUCAUUGACAACACAAAUUCUCCAACUCCCCAUUUUUUUGAGAAGAAACUAGUAUUUCUAAAGAGAAAAGAGAAAAGAGAAAAGAGAAAAAUUAUUAUGGUAUGGUAUGUAUUCUGUAUAUACGGCAAAAGGCGUGGGAACGUGGGGUCUACUUUGAUCAUCAUUACAUACAUAGAAGACAAGUCAUGCAACAUGGUGGCUGUGGACCCUCACCAUUUGAAUGAUUGGUAGGGAACCGUACGGGACCCACUUGUCUGCUUGUCUCCUCUCGUGAAUUGCUGAUUGGACAUUCUAUCAGACAUCUACCGAUGUCCUGUAAUCACAGUGGAUUACAGGUGGGCCCCAUCACCCUUACGGUGGUUUGCACUUUAGAACACUCACUCACACACACGUGCUGCUGUGCUGCUGCUCCUGCUCCUCCUCCUCCUCCUCCACUAGGAUCAAAAUUAAUCGAUGACAUGAUGAUCUUUAUCAUAAAGAUUUUUAUCAUUCGGAAUGUGAUUUAUUAGACAUUUAUUAAUGUGGAAAUCCAGUCAAAUCUCCUUUGAGUGAUUAUUGCUUCCCCUUUCAUUUUCAAAAUUUUGAUGACAUUGAUUCGGACGUAUAUUCCCCUUGACAAUUGCAAAAUUCAAAUCAGUAAGAUUCCAAAUUUUGAUGACAUUGAUUUGGUAACAAUAAGAAAUUUGAAAUACUUUGUUGGGGGAAUGUUGAAGGUUCUUAUAUCAAAUAUCAUAUUCAAAGGAUUUGAGCAAAAAAUUGCCAAUUUGUUUCUCUCCUAUCUUUUUCCUCGUAAAUAAUGUUAUUAGUGAGCCAACGAGGUCUAUCAAAUUGGAAAAUAACCUUAACUUGCGGAUUCUAACCCCCUAUGACACCUUGGUAGUGUGUCUUGUAUUAAAACAAAAAAAUGUUAUUAGUAAAAGAAAUUGACAUGGACCAUGAUUCUACAUAACAUGUGAAAGCACGACCUUGUUCAGAUGGACAAAAAGAUUUUCCGAAAUCCUGAAUUAUUUUUCUUCAGCUGAAGUUAAGGUAUCUCAUUAUUUCAUUAUGGACUUUCCUCUAAAUUUUUUUAUAAAAUAUUCCCAAGUCAUUUUCUGUCGAGGACAGGAUGUUUAAAAGAGGAAGAAAGCUUUACAGCAAAGUGCGCGAGAAGAAGUCGGCCUUUCCUUGAAACAAAUUGAACUUUGUCGAAAAACCUUUGCCUUUUGGAACGGAACAUCUUAAAGAAGACAAAUAGUCGUUUGCUAGUUGAUUUAGGAAACGAAUCAAAAUUAAACAUGUGAAUUAUUACUAUUAUGUUCAGGUUAUUAUUAUUUAAUUAAAAAACACUUUUUUGGGUGUCGUUUAACAGAUAAACAAAAGUGAAAGCCCAAAAGAUAAAUACAUGUUUGAGUAUUCUUGUAUGCGAGCAAAGGGACAAAUUAGGAUGCUGACAUAUCAAAUUAUGUAAAUGCCAAAUCAACAGUCAAUUAACAACCAACCAGUAACUUCAAUGGCAAACAAUUUGGAUACGACAUUCCUUCAUAUUUGGAGGCCACACCCAAUUUGGAUACGACAUUCCUUCCUUGCAUUUGCUGGUGGUGGCUGCAUAUCCAGUUACUCCCCUAACUCAACCAUUACCAACUUUUCUUGGUUCCAAGUAGCCAACCCUAUAAAAUCAAGCCAGCCAACUACAUAUAAGGGGGUACCUCAGAGAAAGGCCUACAGAAGCAUCAAGCUUUUGCCACCUAUUAGCAUCAAAAGACAUGGUUACUGGAAACAAUUAUACUACUACAGAAGGGGUUUAAAAAGGGUCCAGAGGUCCAUCAAUACAAGCAACACUAUUUUGUAUAGAAUUGUAAGCUUUCAGAUUUUACCAUGACCACACUCAGUCACCAAGUAUAGAAAGCGGCUGUCUCAUGCUAAGCUCUGUCUUCAGCAGCGGGAAUUGCUCCAAAUCAUGUGAAACACCUAAAACUUUCUGCGAAAAAGAACCACUGCUUGUGUUAAACUAAGUACACUACAUGAACCAGAGCAUCAGCCAAUCAGGAAUUGCAGAGUGAAACAAAUGCAGCAAUUAUUUUCUUUUUGGCUGAUUGCAGAAAUGAAAUUCUACCACUAACUAUGCAUUGCCAGAAUUAAUCUUUUUGAGUUCUCCACAACUUUUUCGAAUCUUAUACACCCUAACCAAUGCCCAAUAAAAUGAUGGUAACGAACGUCGUAUGUUUAUGUUCUAAAAAUAACACGGGCAAUGCAUUAAAUGGCAGAUUAAGCUAAACUAACUUAAGGAAAAAGAGCUUGCUACAGUUUAGGUACUGAGCAUUUGUAGCAUAGAAAAUUAAACAAGAAGAUAUACUUGCAUAUGGAUUAAUGUUCUAUGUGCUAAUAUCUCAUCAAAAAAUAGAAAUGAUGUAAAAUGAUGAUUACCAAACUUAUCAAGAAUUACAUAUUUAAAAGGGCGCAUACAGGAAUACUAUUUACCAGAGCAGCAAGAUGUGCUUCUUGUAAGAUGUUGCCAUCUACUUCCAAUCUUGCAAUAGGAAACUCUGGGAGAUGUCCUGACUGUUUCUUACCAAGCAAGUUACCAGGUCCGCGUAAUAGAAGGUCCAUAUUUGCCAAGUAAAACCCAUCUGAUGAUUUCCCCAGAACCUUCAGACGAGUUAGACUACUGACGGAAGAUGCUAACAGUAUACAUUUAGAUUUUCUCACUCCUCGUCCGACUCGUCCUCUAAGUUGGUGUAACUGAGCUAUCCCAAAUCUAUCAGCAUUCAUAACAACCAUCAUAGAUGCAUCUGGAACAUCAACACCAAUCUCAAUUACUUGUGUGGAAAGUAGUAUAUCUGUUUCUCCCAAUCUGAACUUUCUCAAUGCUUCGUCUUUCUCAUCACUCUUCAUUCUUCCAUGCAACAAUCCACAUGUGUAGCCCUGGAACCUAUUAGAUAUAAAUUCAAAAUCUGCGGAAGCUGCACGAAGUUGUGGCAGCUGUUCGGAUUGUUCAAUGACUGGAUACACAAGAUACACUUUCCCUCCUACUUUUAACUCAUCCAGCAUCAUCUGUUACAUGCUAUAUUAUUUGUAUCAGAUACUGAUAAAAGCAAAAGGGUGGAAUUAGAAAAAUCUUGCUAUUCUAAUCUACAAGCAAAUAAAAAAUCCAUCAAGGAUCAUCUUGAAAAGAACACAGUGAUCCCUUUGCAGAAUGAUGAGUUUGGUUAUGAGGCUUUCUUUCUUUAUGUUUCGAACAUGAACUCCGUCAAUGAACCCUUUUUCGCAUCAAUGGCUAUAUUAUGUUUCAAGUAUCGAAUAAUAAACUUAAACUGGAACACCUUUUUGUUUCUAAGGAAAAGAAGAAAUGUAGAACAGAGUGCUGUAACAAAGUUAAAACAAGGACAAUGACCUCAUAAACAUCCUCAAACCCAUUGUCAUUUCCUUCAAUGAUGAAGGUCUCAACUGGUGUUCUUCCUGGAGGUAAGUCGGUUAUCUGUUAUUUAAAGAAAGUAGAAACAAAAGAAUCAACAAAUAAUCAAUACAAAUACAGGAAAUCAACUUAUCCAAAUGUAGCACCUAUUAAAUAAUGGAAUACCAUAGAAUUAGCUUUUAAACUCAGAGUAGAUCACUUUUAAGUUACUUUUUCUCUUUUGAAUAUUUUCUUUUUCUUGGAUGACUGGACCUAAUAAUCUUUUAAAAUGUGGCAAACUAAGAUAUGAACAAUUUGAUUCCAAUAAGAGAUAACCUGAUGGUUGCUUUAUUUCUUAAGAAAGUUCAAAUAUUUCACUGCAAACAAGCAUUUAAGAUUAGCAUCUAAUUAUAAUUUUUAUAUUUUUUAAAAAUCUAAAAUUCAAAUGAGAAAAGAAAGAUUGCAACAAAGCAUGAAGGAACAAGAACAAAAAUUCAUACUUGUGUUAAUGACAUAUCCCCAUAUAAAGCGAGAGCAAGUGUCCUUGGGAUGGGAGUAGCUGACAUGGCAAGAAUAUGAGGAGCCAUAUGCUUGUCAUUCUUGGAGGUCACAUCUGAAUUGGUGGCUAGCAUUCUAGAACUUAUGGAGGUACAAUAUAGCUGCAGGGAUUAGUGCAUCAGUUAGAUCAUCUUAUAAAAUAAAUUGCAGACCAUUUCAACUUUCAAGGACUGGAUUAUUAAUACCAAAUUAUUGAUACCCUAUCUAACCCCUAUAAAGUUUCAAAUUUCCUCCUCAACUUAAUAUCAAUUAACGAUAUGAAUUAACUCACAGAAACAUCAAGAGCUAUUCAAACAGCACCCCAAAGAUAUUAAAAGUAAGACAAAAUGAAUUCCGGGAACAAAAUCAUCCACAUUCCAUAAGGUAUAAAAGAGUCAAAUUGUAUCACAGUUUGGACAGAAUAUUAAUGGAGUACUAUGUGACCAGAGAACAUGACUAAAUAUUUAGUUCAAUUAAAAGCAAACUACCUUGCUGUUAAACCGGCCUCUCUGGAUCACACCAAAACGUUGUUGUUCAUCCACCACUGCAAUGCGUAAGGCAGAGAACUCUACUUUAUCAGCUAUUAAACUAGUGGUUCCAAUGACCAUUGAUAUGUCUCCAGUUUGGAGACCCUGAAUUGCAUAAUAUUAAUGAUUAGUAUCACUUUCACUACCAUUAACUAGCAUCCCUGAAACAUUAACAAAACAAAAGAACCGGACAUUAAUCCAUGCCUUAUGAAUUAUCCGCGAUUGUUUUGAUGGGGUUGAGCCUGUGAGUAAAGCAAUAGAAGGUUUGCACUCAAAAUCCUCUAUAUUUUCAAGCAAAUUAUUUAAGUGCUCGUAAUGCUGGACUGCAAGCAACUCAGUUGGAACCAUGAAAGCUGCCUUUAAAUGAAACAAAGAAAAACGAUCAUAAUGAUUUUCUGUUAGGAACAAAGAUCAUAACUAAAAUACAAAUGGACGAAGGUCUAAACUUAAUCAAAGAAACAAAAUUUUAGCUGUAAAACAACUAUAAAACAAACGGAGUCCCAACUAUUGUAGAGUCAUAUUUUAAAAUAUUGUAUAAAAAAUGUUACACAGACCUGAAUAGAUAAUGAAAACCUUUUAAUGACAAACCUGAUAUCCAGAGCCAAUAACCUCCAUGCAUGCCAAAAAAGCUACCACAGUUUUCCCACAACCAACAUCACCCUGAAACAAGUGUAACAACACAGUAUCAAUCAAGAAUCUUUUUCAGUUUUCAAGUAUACCUAUUGUGCAUGCCAAGGAAAUAUAGAGAGAGAACAAUGAGCCAAUUAGAAAAGGGAUAGGAAAAGAACUAGGGCAAAAGCCUAGGCUUAAAACUGUUUUCAACCAGAAGCCAACCACAAAUGAUCUUAUUGUGUCAUCACUUUGUAACCGGAAAUUGUAUAUAUUGUAGGUGCUUCAGUUACAUGAUAUGAAGGUCAAGUCAAUUCAGAUCAAGAUGUAGAAUUACCACUUCAAAAUUACGAUUAAUAUAUGAUUAAAAGUUGUAAUAAAUUUUAAAACAAUUGAUACAUCCUGUACGCAAGGAUUAAAACCUGCAAAAGCCGAUUCAUAGGAACUGGUUGCCUAAGAUCCCAGAUAAUUUCUGAAACAGCAGUGAGUUGACUAGGAGUAAGGGUAUAAGGAAGAGUUUUUGAAAACUUCUUGGUAAGACUGGACCAUUCCUCCAUAUAAGCAGCACUUGAUUCGGGCUUCCUGUACUUAUCCAGCAAUCCAUCUUUCUCUAUUUGUGUACCAAGACCUUCAAGCAUUUGGUAUAAGCGCCCUAACUGACAGGCACUGACAAUUAGGUCAGUGUGAAUCCUUACUCUAUUUGAUAAUUGCAUAGUAAGAAAGCACAAUUUAUCAACAGUGAUAAUUGGAGAAUUUAGAUACAAAACCAGAAACAGCACUCUUCACUAUUACACUGUUGGACAUUUAAUUACUUGAAGAAAUAAAAAAGAAGUUAGCAAAGAUACACUUCUCAGAUAUCAAAUGGUAUUUUUCAUGCACAAAGCAAACCACCCGCUAAUUUCAAAAUUGCAACAAGAGAAAGAAAAAAAAUUUCAAAGGGCAUUCUGAGUAUAGUUGAUCAUUAAAACGUAAAAAAUUCUGCAAUGUAGUAAAUGACCAAAUGAGCCUUUAGAAUCUUUUUUUAGCAAAAAAAAAAAAAAGUAUUACAGUUUAAAGAAGAUGCACAUGUAUUCGGUAAGCAAUAGAGAGAAGAGCAUUAACCUAAGAGACUCAGAUCUAAAAGCAUAUGCAGGUACAUCUUUUUUUUUUUCCUUUUAAAACUCCGAGAAUGGAAUAGGGUUUCAUUUAAGUUUGAUGGCAAGAAGAAUGACCUAUAAACAUAAGAUUAUAACCUUAAUAUAACAAGGAAUGGAAAUAGGACAACUAAUGAAGAAAUUUGAAUCAACAUCACCUGUAGGUAAAAGAAUUCAUCAAAUAUUAGUCUUUUCCGAGCCAAAUCAGCUUCGUUUAUGCUCUUCGGUUGGUGAAUCCCAGUAUAUGCCUAUAUUAUUAAAAAAAACAUAUAGCUCAAGUUUUUUUCUUAAUAUACCAAAAAAUGUUAUUUAAAUAACAGCAAGGGGCUCAUAUAGCUCUCUAAUAAAUAUAUAGACACUGAGACGAAGUGGUCUCAAUGGAGAUGCUCCUAUGCUCACUGGGGUAUAAAGAAUGUACAAGUAUGUGUUGUCUCGAGACCAACAAUGGUGGGUUAACAUGGUUGCACGGGCUAAUAUCAAGACAAUGCAAGCGUUAUGGCCGCAUCAGCCUGCUUUUUAAUUCCCGCAUGCUUAAUGUAUUCAUGUAUUUAUGUAUGUAUGUAUGGUACAAUGUUCGAAAAAUAAAUGCUUGAAAUAUUCAUAAACAAAUACUAUUCUUUUUAUUGCAUGAAAUCGAGUGUAAUAAAUGACAAUAAUUAAAGGUAGGAAUUACAUAUAUGCUUGAUAAUAAGGACAAAAGUGAAGGUUCUUACGUCUUGAAGGCUUAACAGCCUAAAGUCCAGAAUGAUAUUUUUAGGAAUAGGAUCAACAUUGACAGGCAAAACCUGUACAACUCUGGAACAAGUAAAAUGGUAAAGAUUUAAUUUAUUGGAAUCGGAGAAAACUUCAAAGAAACUACCCAAUCAAUCCAAUAUUUGAAUAAUUUAAAACAACUGCAAAGAACUAAGAGAAGCAACUUCCAUAGGAUAAACAAAGGAAUGUUAUUGCAGAAAGAAUAAAAACACAAUUAGAUAUCUAAUAUUGAGAAAACCAGCUACUCUCCAUAAAUUAAUGCAAAUUGUAUAAGCUUAUCAGGACGGAGUAAGAGAAAUUUAGCACCACAAAAAGAUCUUAGAGUAAAAAGAAUAUAAAUCACUAUUCGCAAAUGUAGCUGCUAAGGAAACUGGUUGUGUUAUGAUGUUACAGUUCAAGGUACCUAAUAGGUUGGAGGCACAAACCUUUCAAUGAUGUCUCUCAAAAAAUUUGGAUUUAAGCCUCCUUUUGAAGGGUAUAUAGGAUAUGGCCUUCCUUUUGCGUGAAAAGACGCUUCAUUUUCAUCUUUAAGCACAUCAAUGUUAUAUUCUCUCAUUUCAUAGUGAUCUUUAGAAGGCAUUGUCCUCACCUAUUUAAAAAGGCAACAUUAUUACAAGUCUCCAAGUUAAGAUCAAAAAAAUGAAGAAAUAAUAUCUUUAACACAAUUGUACUACAUUUCAUGAAAAGAAAGUCCUACUUGAUCAGGACAUCUUUGUCAAACCCAUUAGGGCUUGCAAACAAAAGAGAUGGAAGAGGAAAUUAUUAAUUAGUUUCCUAAUUUAUUUGUUAGUUUUCUAGGUUCUCUAAGUUUUCCAGAUUUCAUUAGGAUUUCUAGUUUUUACAGAUUUCCAAGUUUCUUAUUUUAUUUGGAUUAGUAUUUCUUUCCUAGAAUAAGUUUAAUUUUCCUUUUCACUCUAGGGUUAGAUUAUUAUAAAUACACCUGCUAUGUAAUUCAUUACGGGAGUUGAGAUUUGAGAUAUUGAGUAAAGUUUAUUUUCCAGAGAUUGGAGACUCCUUGGUGUGAAGUCAAAACCCCUGGAGUGAUUCCAGACCCAUCCUUGCUCGUUCUAUUUUCUGUUUUUCAAUUGUUUCGCUUCCGCUAAACUACCUAAAUUCUCAAUUCACCCAUAUCCUACACCACUACUGCUUUAGUCCUUAAUAGUUUUCAGUACAUGAAAAGGUGAGCCAAUUUAUGCAACGGCACAUCCAUUGUAACUAAAAGUGCUGCCUAGGGCACUAACCAACGAGUGACCAUUAACUAGUCAAAAGGUCUUAAAGGUAGUUAACAUGCACGAGCAGUACUACCUAAUUUCUGAUAGCAUUACAAAAAUCCAAAAAGCAAUCAACAAAUGGAGCAAUGUGCUGGCUGAUACCUCCUUUUAACUUUUCCUGUAUAUUAUAAAUAACAAGGAACAGCAUCAACAGGAGAGUUGCACUUAGAUUCGGUCUACUUCCAUCCAGUAAGAACCGGCUCAAAGUAGUAGGCUACAGCCUUAUAGGUGUGAGACAGAAAAAGAAAUAUUACUCUCUGAACUAUAUUCUUCCUGUAAUUGACUAUAUUUUCGAGUACCAGGUAUCAAUCCAUAAUACUAACACAAGAAUACCGAACACGAUACAAAUAAAAACACAUUGAAGCGCAAGCACAUAAUUAAACAAGACAGAAAACCAAGGUAAAACUUACCUUGCCACUGACGCAUACAAAGUCCCCCUCUUUAUGCUUGUCCUCAACAAUUCUAAGAAAAGGUACAGAAGUAAAACGAGUACCACGGAAAAAUUUCUUCAGAUGCAAAUAAAUUGUCUUCUUUCUUCUACUGUCACCAAAAUCAUUCAUAUGCUCAGUUGAUUCAUUGUCAGUAAUUUCACAACCCACAACCACCUCAAAAAUUGAGAAAGUACUACUAGCUUUGAUUCCCCUGUAAGAAAAGAGGUAACAUAUAGAUAUCAAAACAGAUUCUUAAUACCCAAGCAUUUGAACAGCAGCAGAUUAGCAGCUUAAAGUGAAUGAAUAAGUGAAUACAAAUACAUAUACAUGUAUGUAACAUCCCUGCAGAUGCAUUAUCACAAGUGAGUUACAAAGGCACAGCACUAGCAAAUAGUAUGCCAUGAAAUUAGAUAUCCAUUUAUCUAAUUUCAACACAAGUAUGCCAAGAAAUGUUCACAGAAAAAAGAAGAAGAAGUUAUUCACUAUGUCAAUGAAACUAGAUAUCCAUUUAUGUAAUAUAGACACAGAUUCACAUUUAACAUCAUUUCAUGUGUCAGAACAUCACGGUUUCUAUCAGCUAGUUAGGCUUUCAUUGUUUUUCGAAACAUCUUAAUUUCUCAUAAUAUCACUAGGAACCAAAGUAAGCACCUUAACAAGUCAGCUGAAUUGGAAUUUGUCAGAUUAGCCUAACUUCAUCCAAUUGCUAAGGUGAGCACCCAGAGUGCCUAUUACGACACUUAAAUCACUAAACAAAUUCUUUCAAAGACCAAGCAAGAAAAUUCUGAGUCUCUGACCACUUAUAAAUCUUAGCAAGAAAACUAAUUAGGAUUUAUUUUUAUUGGUAAAUAAUAAUUUACUAGAAAUUUGGGAAAAUUUUAAUACCUCGAAUUUAAUACCUUCCCAAUGAAAAUCAAGUAUUGCCCGUCAUCAAUUUUAAUCUGAGCAUUCUGUAAAUCAGCAUAUGUCCGAGGAAAGUGGUGAAGCAAUUUCCGCAACUGUAUGGAAACAGAAGAAGAAUGUAAACCCAUGGCUUCUUUCAAAUUCCCGAUAAUAAGGGAAAUGUUUCCUUUAACAUAAUUUCAGAAACCCACCGUAUGAAAGCCACAGUUUUCUAGCUGAUGACAACGCUUUUUACUUAUUCCAUGUAUGCAACUGAUAGAACUGUCCAGGGACAACUGAACUGACACAGCAUCCUUUUGCGAUUCAAGUGAAACUUUCUUAGAAGAUUCCUCCGUAGGAACUGGUUGAUAUGAAUUUUUAACAGGAACCAAAGUCGUGGACUGCAGAGAUAAGGACAACGUUUAAGAAUCUUCUUUUAAUAAGGAAUUUUGACACUAGUACAAGCAGGAUACAGAGAAUUCCAUAUUUCAUAGAGAUAAUCACACACCUGCAUUUCACCCAUAGUAUCAGACAGAAAUCCUUCACAACUUUGAGUUUCUAAAAGCAUCCUUUCAGUGAAACUUGUGGUUCCAUCAUACAACUCUACCCGAGGGGAACUGCUCAAAAUGAUUGACGGAAAUCUUCUACAUGCCAAGGAAACAUCAAACUCAUCCACUGCAUCUUUAACAUACAUACCAGACUGCUUUUCAGCUCUUUCAUUCUCAAUCAAAUUAUGAAGACUAUCGUACCCCAUCAAAACAGAAACCUAAAAGAAAAUGACACAGCAAAAUAUGAAGACUAGAUUUUAGAAAGGCAACAAUACAUUCCAUUUGUCAGAGUACAUGCACAUUAGAUAAAGUUGCAGCAAUCAAACAACAAACAAUACCACUGAUAAUUCUUUUUUUUUGCUGAAUUAACCAAUAUCAAACUUGUAUAUAAACAAAUCUACCUUAUUGAGCAACUUUGACCGAUCAGAGAUGCUUGCUAUGCCAUAACUAUCUACUUCCUUCAAAGCAUCUUUAACAAAAGUAUGCUUUGAUCGAAAACAUAAUUUUGAUAUUUUGGAAAAGACAAAAUUACUGAACCUGCAAUUUGAAAUAGCCAUGCCCACAUUAUUAAUUCUCAUACUUUCAGAUCAAAUCAAAUUGCAAAUAAUCUACAGACCUCAUUUUUCUACCCAAAGCAUUCCGAUAUCCCUUCUCUGCUUCAAAAGCUAUUGCACUUCUCAAUCCAUUCCCACUGAAACACUGAGAUGGAAACUUCAUUGUUGGUGUAUUACUAAGCUCAUAUGUAAGGAUUAAACAGUACAUCAUACAUAUCUAUAUUAUAAAGAGAACUCUCUUUGGAGAUCAUCAUAUAAAAAAAGUAGACUAUACCCCGAUGGUUUUAAAUAGUUUUAAUACAAUAUUAGUUUCCAAUUUCCAAUCACUCUCAACCCACAUAUGCUCACACUCUCUUUUCCUACUCAAACUCCAUCUCAUUGCACAUAGACACUACCAUAUUAUCCCAUUUUUUAAGCCCAAAACUGCAGGCAUUUUGUUUGUCUUAGCCAUUUUUCCGACUUUAUGCAUUGGUACUCUGCAACUCUCUCUUAAAUCUCGGGUACUGCUGAAAAUUUUAUGAUGUUUUAUAUUAAAAAGUAGUAUAUUGUAGUUAUUUUCUUUUCCUAAUAAUAAGUCCAGGAACUUAUCAGAAGUUUUAUGUGGAUUCUCAACUCUGACACGGCACAAUAGAGAAAAAAUCUAUUGGAAGUUCCGAACUUAAAGUUGGUGUUUAGUGUAUAUAUAUUGUAUGGGAAACUUCAAAAACAUUAACCAUCAAAAUUAAAUUUAAAAAUUUAAAUCGCAUAUCUUAUUAAACAUCUGAGAAAGUCCAAAACAACUCAAUAAUGAAAGGUGGGCUGUCCAUUGGUGUAAGUGACUAUAACACAUGUUACCCCUUUUAAAUUGAAAGUUAGCAUAAACUUAAGGCUGGUUCGGCCGAUAAUCAAAGAUGUGAGAAAAAAGAAGAAGAGGAAGUUAAGUACGUACCGAUUGCACAACUGAAACUGCCACUGCCAUGUGCAACAAACUUACUGCAUGAACUGGACAUGCCUAAACAGAGAAAAACAUCAAACCUGCACAAGGUUGAGAAAACAUAUACAACAAAAGAUUACAAAGUGUCAGACUUUCUAAAAAUUAAUGCACCGGCUACUCAGAGCAAUGAAAUGGCGAAUAUCAAUAAGAAUGCUACAGGAGAGCCCAAAGGUUAAUUCAAAGAAACCGAACUCUUAACAAGCAGUAGCGAAAAGCAAAUCUAGCCAUUAAUCUACUUCAUUUGAACCACCACCUGUUUCUUAAUAUUUUUAAAAAAUACAUUCAGAAUAUAUCUUGGAAUUGGUAGUAAGCGCAUGAAAUGGAGAAAUCGUAGCGUCUAUUUUAUACGAUACAGAAAGGGAAGUUGGCAACGUACCUAUUGACCAAUGCUUCAAACAGAGCCCUGAAAAUCAAUAACCCAGAAUCGUUCGAAGAGCUUCAGUGACAAAGUCUGUUCCUUUUUCUUUUUUCUUUUUCGUUCUUUGUCGUCUAAAUAUCCCUCGUUCCUAUGUCCGGGAUAUUCUUUUUCUUUUAAAAUUUCUUUCCUCAAUAUCCACCAAUAAACCAAUAUCAUAUCCAAAUAUUUAAUUUCUUUUACUAUUUUCAAUCAAAAUAAAAACAUACGCUUGUUUCUAAAAUUAAAAAACAUAAAACUCUUUUCUUUUUCUUUUUUGAAGUGAAAAAAUUAUUUUCUAAACAAAUCUACUAAUUAUUUUCAAGAAUAUUAUUUGAAGGAAACUAUUUUCAUUUACCAAAAAAAAUAAUCACUAUUUUCAGUAUGGUUCGCGAACAGGUCCAAUUGGCUUUUAUUGGGCUCAGUUUGAGAGACAGUAAUCUGGCCCGAUCAAGCCUAGGUUUUUGGGUUGGGCCCAAUCCAACUUCGUCAGUCAUAAUCUUUGGCCCUUUUGGGUGAUUAUAAAAACACUGAUAUGCCUCAAUUGCUGAAUUAGGGUUUCGACAGAGAGGUCGCAGCGCGUUGGCAACAUUUAGGUUUAGUUCAUAUCUUCCUUCUCAAUUUUCUCACUUUCCCCAGUUUCCAGAUCGGAACAAUUUCAAUAUAGCAAGGGCUGAGGCAAAGGGCAGAGCAGCAAUAUGCUUGUUUUCAAGCAUAUGAAUCAGUGGCUCUGAUUUACUUGUAGGUUUUCUACAGGUUCCCCUGCCAUUGAAGCCCUGUACAUCAAGUCUUGCACAGAUUAUUAUACUGUGGGAGACAAUGGCAUCAUAGUACGGGUUAUGUGCUUGAUGGGUUGUUGUGAAGUUUGGAACUUUGGUUACUUAUGAGGGUCUCUUGACCCAAAUGAGCCCCAAGGUUCCUUUCACCCUCCCAUUUUCUCCUCACAAACCCGCCUCCAAUAGCCAUUACAUUUUCCCCAACCAUUUCACAGGUCUCUCUCUCUUUUUUUUCUUUAUUAUAUAACAAGUAUACUAUGUUAGUCGAAUUGUUGCCCGAUAAUUGUUUUGUGUUUUCAUAAUCAUAAUCAUGAAAUGUAGAGUGAGAAAUGGAGAGCAAAUUAAACACAUUUUGGC
Molecule: long non-coding RNA, 39966 nt
Filed under: Prunus persica (peach)
Lineage: Eukaryota; Viridiplantae; Streptophyta; Magnoliopsida; Rosales; Rosaceae
Description: long non-coding RNA (PPER_LNC001363)
Source: RNAcentral